This 427-nucleotide ribosomal RNA is filed under the name uncultured Eubacteriales bacterium. RNAcentral's name for it is "bacterial SSU rRNA". It matches the Rfam family "Bacterial small subunit ribosomal RNA", at positions 76 to 507 of the family's 1533-position model. Lineage: Bacteria; Bacillati; Bacillota; Clostridia; Eubacteriales. The record is from RNAcentral.
GUCAAGGUAAGGACGGUAGUUAGGUCGGGACUAGGUGAGUAACAACGUAAGAAAUACUGCCUACUCAGAGGGGAAGUAACAAGUGAGAAAUACACCUGCUAAUACCGCAUAUGCCAUAACUAUCGCAUGAUAGAAGUGGGAAAGGAGCAAUCCGCUGAUAGAUGAGCUUGCGUCUGAUUAGCUAGUUGGUGGGGUAAAGGCCUACCAAGGCGACGAUCAGUAGCCGGACUGAGAGGUUGAACGGCCACAUUGGGACUGAGAUACGGCCCAGACUCCUACGGGAGGCAGCAGUCGGGAAUAUUGCGCAAUGGAGGAAACUCUGACGCAGUGACGCCGCGUAUAGGAAGAAGGUUUUCGGAUUGUAAACUAUUGUCCACAGGGAAGAAAAAAGACUGUACCUGUGAAGCAAGCUCCGGCUAACUACGUG